Molecule: small nuclear RNA, 165 nt
Organism: Myotis lucifugus (little brown bat)
Lineage: Eukaryota; Metazoa; Chordata; Mammalia; Chiroptera; Vespertilionidae
Gene: U1
Rfam family: U1 spliceosomal RNA
About the family: U1 is a small nuclear RNA (snRNA) component of the spliceosome (involved in pre-mRNA splicing). Its 5' end forms complementary base pairs with the 5' splice junction, thus defining the 5' donor site of an intron.
Source: Ensembl
AUACAUACCUGGCAGGGGAGAUACCAUGAUCAUGAAGGUGGUUUUCCCAGGGUGAGGCUUACCCAUUGCACUCCGGAUAUGCUGGCCCCUGCAAUUUCCCCAAAUGUGGGAAACUCAACUGUAUAAUUUGUGGAAGUGGGGGACUUGUGUUCGUGCUUUCCCCUA